CGGAGGAAAAGAAACUAACAAGGAUUCCCUCAGUAGCGGCGAGCGAAGCGGGAAAAGCCCAAUAUGAAAAGCCUGCUUGCAGGCGUUGUAUUUUGGAAGUCUCUGGGGUGUCAGUGGGCGUAAGUUGUAUGGAAAUACACACCGUGGAGGGUGAGAGUCCCGUCCAACGCCCACAGGACACUUCGUACGAGGCUUUCCUAACGAGUCGGGUAGCUUGGGAAUGCUGCUCUAAUUGGUGGUAAAUCUCAUCAAAGGCUAAAUAUUGACCGGAGACCGAUAGUGAACAAGUACCGUGAGGGAAAGAUGAAAAGCACUUUGAAAAGAGGGUGAAAAGAGCCUGAAACCGUCAUGGGGGAAGCGGAUUGCGUUGAAUUGGGGAGUUGCUGUGUGUUCAGCCCGGGCUUUUGUCCGGGUGUAUUGACGCAGUGACCGACCUGUCGUGGGUUUCGGGCCGUUGAUUUUGAACGGCCUGGGGCUGAGGGCUCCCUUUUAGGUGAGGACGACAGGGCGACGACGCGAUACGACCCGUCUUGAAACACGGACCAAGGAGUCUAGCGCGGUUGCGAGUCGAAGGGUGCAAGCCUGAAGGCGAAGUGAAAGCGAGUGUAAAACGAGCAGUUUGGGGCGGCAUGGAAUCGUUGAUUUCAAGUCUGACCUUGAGCAGUUGCGCUGGGACCCGAAAGAUGGUGAACUAUGCCGGAGUAGGGCAAAGCCAGAGGAAACUCUGGUGGAGGCUCGUAGCGGUGCUGACGUGCAAAUCGCUCGUCGAACUUGGGUAUAGGGGCGAAAGACUAAUCGAACCAUCUAGUAGCUGGUUCCCUCCGAAGUUUCUCUCAGGAUAGCGGGCCGACUGAUGUUGUUUUGUGCGGUAAAGCGAAUGAUUAGCGCACUCGGGGACGGUUUGUCUCUGGGCGAUUCUCAAACUUUCAAUGCGCAAGGGUGCCGCUGCUUUGUUGAGCGGCACCGACAAAAACGUCGGCCCUGUGGGCCACUUUUGGUAAGCAGAACUGGCGAUACGGGAUGAACCGUAAGCGUGGUUAAGGCGCCUAACUGCCCGCUUAGAGACCCCACAAAAGGUGUUGAUUCAUCGAGACAGCAGGACGGUGGCCAUGGAAGUCGGAAUCCGCUAAGGAGUGUGUAACAACUCACCUGCCGAAUGAAUUAG
This 1165-nucleotide ribosomal RNA is filed under the name Commanderella ruprechtiana. RNAcentral describes it as "partial 28S ribosomal RNA". It matches the Rfam family "Eukaryotic large subunit ribosomal RNA", at positions 51 to 1309 of the family's 3401-position model. Lineage: Eukaryota; Rhodophyta; Florideophyceae; Gigartinales; Kallymeniaceae. The record is from RNAcentral.